CCGGCCGGUACCAGUCCGAGCUCUGGUCCCCACGGUCAUCACGCUUUGCUUUCUCAGCCAAGAUCUCGGGGCUCAGGGCGGAAACGCAGCGGAUAUGUAUUUUCUUCCGGGGUUGGUGGCGCUCGGCUCUCAUGACCUGCAGGUGACAGUGUUGGCCGGUGGCGCGGCCCUGCUUGCCUCGUGCCCCGCCCUUCGUGCUUGAAAAAAAAUCCCGCGAAGCCUUCUCCGAAAGAACAUGCUGGUUCUUUGGUUGUCAGUGCCUUACAAGCCCUGGAGGCGGGGGAAAAGAAGAAGAAAUGGCAGUAAAGAGGGCAACCAUCAUUCCACCCAGCCCAAAAGGAAUAAGAGAAACCCUAUCUUUCAGGAUUCUCAAGAUACAGAGUUUUCAUGGAGUGAUAAUGAAAGGAGCAGCAGCCGCAUUAAUAUCCCAGAGAGAGCAAGUGGACCAGAAGGCAACUUAAACCAGAUUGUUACUGAACCCGAUGCAAACUUUCCCCAGUUCUUGCAUGAGGGGUAUGUACCAUGCCAAGGUCUUUACUCCCAUAUCAACCAGACCUUGAAGGAGGCUCACUUCAACAGCCUGCAGCAGCGAGGGCAAGCUCCAACAUGAUGAAUUAGGACUUCCUUAUUCCAACCUAAACUGUGUUUAUAAAAGCAAUUGCAUACACACCAAAAAAAGUCUAUUGGUUUUUAAGUCUACAUUUUAAGUAACAAGUUAAUGGGCAGUUGUUUAAUUGGGGUUUUACUUCACUGUUGUACUUUUAAAGGGGCUGUGAAUAAAUGUUUAUGAAAUU
RNAcentral lists this long non-coding RNA (794 nucleotides) under Homo sapiens (human). Its description in RNAcentral is "long non-coding RNA NONHSAT223359.1". The record is from RNAcentral. Lineage: Eukaryota; Metazoa; Chordata; Mammalia; Primates; Hominidae.